This 467-nucleotide ribosomal RNA is filed under the name uncultured bacterium. Its description in RNAcentral is "partial 16S ribosomal RNA". It matches the Rfam family "Bacterial small subunit ribosomal RNA", at positions 28 to 506 of the family's 1533-position model. The record is from RNAcentral.
GACGAACGCUGGCUGCGUGCUUAACACAUGCAAGUCGUACGGCAAGGCCCUGUUUUUUUGGGGUGUUCGAGUGGCGAACGGGUGCGUAUCACUUGCGUAUCCUGCCCUUGACUUUGGGAUAACUUCAGGAAACUGGGGCUAAUACCGGUUAGUAGCUCCUUCUGUAUUGUGGGGGUUGGAAUGUUUCGACGGUUGGGGAUGGACUCGCUGCUUAUCAGUUUGGUGGUGGGGUAGUGGCUGACCCAGGCUUGGACGGGUAGCCGGCCUGAGAGGUAGACAGAUAAGAUGGGAACUGAGAUAGGGCGCAGAAGCGAAGGGGAGUCAGCAGUGGGGAAGAGUGCAAAAUGGGCGGAAGCCGGAGGCAGUAACGCCGCGUGCGGUAGGACAGCCUUCGGGUUGGAAAACGAAGUGGACUGUGACGAAGCGUAAGUGACGGAAAUGGAGAAAGAAGCACCGGUUAACUACGU